UACGGAAGAUGCGAGCGUUAUCCGGAUUUAUUGGGUUUAAAGGGAGCGUAGGCGGGCUUUUAAGUCAGCGGUCAAAUGCCACGGCUCAACCGUGGCCAGCCGUUGAAACUGCAAGCCUUGAGUCUGCACAGGGCACAUGGAAUUCGUGGUGUAGCGGUGAAAUGCUUAGAUAUCACGAAGAACUCCGAUCGCGAAGGCAUUGUGCCGGGGCAGCACUGACGCUGAGGCUCGAAAGUGCGGGUAUCAAACAGG
Molecule: ribosomal RNA, 252 nt
Filed under: Paraprevotella clara YIT 11840
Lineage: Bacteria; Pseudomonadati; Bacteroidota; Bacteroidia; Bacteroidales; Prevotellaceae
Also listed under: 1 other name
Description: partial 16S ribosomal RNA
Rfam family: Bacterial small subunit ribosomal RNA
Source: RNAcentral